Molecule: ribosomal RNA, 403 nt
Filed under: uncultured bacterium
Lineage: Bacteria
Description: partial 16S ribosomal RNA
Rfam family: Bacterial small subunit ribosomal RNA
Source: RNAcentral
AUUGAACGCUGGCGGCAGGCCUAACACAUGCAAGUCGAGCGAGCGGCGGACUGGUGAGUAAUGUAUGGGGACUGCCCGAUAGAGGGGGAUAACUACUGGAAACGGUAGCUAAUACCGCAUACUAUCGGAUAACCCAUAUGGGAUUAGCUAGUAGGUGAGGUAAUGGCUCACCUAGGCGACGAUCCCUAGCUGGUCUGAGAGGAUGAUCAGCCAAACUGGGACGGAGACACGGCCCGGACGCCUACGGAGGCAGCAGUGGGGAAUAUUGCACAAUGGGCGCAAGCCUGAUGCAGCCAUGCCGCGUGUAUGAAGAAGGCCCUAGGUGUGUAAAGUACUUUCAGUCGGGAGGCGUUACCGACAGAAGAAGCACCUGCAAACUCCGUGCAAGCCGCCGCGGUAAUAC